This 2424-nucleotide ribosomal RNA is filed under the name Triticum aestivum (bread wheat). Its description in RNAcentral is "partial small subunit ribosomal RNA". Lineage: Eukaryota; Viridiplantae; Streptophyta; Magnoliopsida; Poales; Poaceae. The record is from RNAcentral.
AUGGCGGGUCAUGCGGCGGCGGGGGUGUGCGCGGCGCCGAUGCAGGCGACGUCGCACGGCGCGUUCCAGGGCGACAACCCGCUGGACUACGCGCUGCCGCUGGCCAUCCUGCAGAUCUGCCUCGUCGUCGUCGUCACCCGGGGCCUCGCCUACCUCCUCCGCCCGCUCCGCCAGCCGCGCGUCAUCGCCGAGAUCAUCGGUGGAGUCCUGCUGGGCCCGUCGGCGUUGGGCCGGAGCAGCAAGUUCUUGCACGCCGUCUUCCCGGCCAAGAGCCUGCCGGUGCUGGACACGCUGGCCAACCUCGGCUUGCUCUUCUUCCUGUUCCUCGUCGGCCUCGAGCUCGACAUCGCCGCCAUCCGCCGCACCGGCAAGAAGGCCCUCGCCAUCGCGCUCGCUGGCAUCUCCGUCCCGUUCGCGCUCGGCAUCGGCACGUCGUUCGCCUUCCGCGCCACCAUCGUCAAGGGCGCUCCACAGGCACCGUUCCUCGUCUUCAUGGGUGUCGCGCUCUCCAUCACCGCCUUCCCGGUGCUCGCUCGCAUCCUGGCCGAGCUGAAGCUUCUCACCACCGACAUCGGCCGCAUGGCCAUGUCCGCAGCGGCGGUCAAUGACGUCGCCGCCUGGAUCCUGUUGGCCCUCGCUGUUGCACUCUCUGGAGACGGCUCGCCGAUCAUCUCGCUCUGGGUGCUCCUCACAGCUACCGGCUUUGUCAUCGCCGUUUGCGUUCUCCUCCGGCCGUUGUUGGCGUGGAUGGCGCACCGGUCUCCCGAGGGUGAGCCGGUCAAGGAGGUGUACAUUUGUGCCACCCUCGCCAUCGUCCUCGCUGCCGGCUUCGUCACCGAUGUCAUCGGCAUCCACGCGCUGUUCGGGGCGUUCAUGGUCGGCAUCGUCGUCCCCAAGGACGGGCCGUUUGCCGGCGUGCUCAUCGAGAAGGUUGAGGACCUCAUCUCGGGGCUCUUCCUCCCGCUCUACUUCGUCUCCAGUGGCCUCAAGACGGACGUGGCCACUAUCCGGGGAGCCAAGUCGUGGGGCCUAUUAGUGCUCGUCAUCCUCAACGCCUGCCUCGGCAAGAUCGGCGGCACUGUGCUCGCGUCACUGAUCGUCAAGAUCCCCGUCAGGGAGGCGGUCGCGCUGGGGUUCCUGAUGAACACCAAGGGGCUCGUGGAGCUCAUCGUCCUCAACAUCGGCAGGGACCGCAAGGUGCUCAACGACGAGUCCUUCGCCAUCAUGGUGCUCAUGGCCCUAUUCACCACCUUCAUCACGACGCCGAUCGUCAUGGCCAUCUACAAGCCCGCGCGGCCAUCGGCGCCGUACAAGCGCCGCACCGUGGAGGGCGGCGCACCGGCGGACGCGGACAGCGAGCUGCGCGUGCUCGCCUGCUUCCACAGCAACCGCAACAUCCCGACGCUGCUCAACCUCGUGGAGUCGACCCGGGGCACGGGGCGGCACCGCCUCGCCAUGUACGCCAUGCACCUGGUGGAGCUCUCGGAGCGGUCGUCGGCCAUCUCCAUGGUGCACCGCACGCGCCGCAACGCCAUGCCCUUCUUCAACAGCGGGGACAAGACGGAGCAGAUGGUGGUGGCCUUCGAGGCGUUCCAGCAGCUGAGUGCCGUGAGGGUGAAGCCCAUGACGGCCAUCUCGGACCUCGAGACCAUCCACCGGGACGUCAUCGACAGCGCCGCUGAGAAGCGGGCGGCCGUCGUCAUCAUGCCGUACCACAAGCUGCUCCAGCACGACGGCUCCUUCCACUCGCUCGGCUCCCAGUACCACGCCGUCAACAAGCGCGUGCUCCGGGGCGCGCCAUGCUCCGUCGCCAUCCUCGUCGACCGCGGGCUCGGCGGCCACUCCCAGGUCGCCGCCAAGAACGUGGAGUUCUCUGUGGCCAUGCUCUUCUUCGGCGGGGCGGACGACCGUGAGGCGCUGGCGUACGCGACGCGCAUGUCGGAGCACCCUGGCGUCGCUGUGACUGUGACACGCUUCCGGCCCAGCCGCCCAUCGUCCGGCGACGCAGCCGACGAGGCGGCCAUGGAGGCGUUCAAGGGCAAGGUCGAGGCCGUGAAGGACGGGUCGGCGAUGUACGAGGACGUAGAGGCGUCGGCCAAGGAGGAGGUGCUCCAGGCGAUCAACUCGCUGUCCAAGUCCAACAUGUUCGUGGUGGGGAGGAUGCCGCUGACGGAGCCGCUGGUGGAGAGGCCCGAGGAGCUGGGCCCCGUGGGGAGCUACCUGGCGUCGUCGGAGUUCAAGACAUCGGCGUCCGUGCUGGUGAUCAAGAGGUACGACCCGGCGACGAACCCGGCCAGCAAGAGGUUCGACCCCAAGGCGAGGCCGCCGGUGGCGACGGACGUGGAGGACGAGGAGAUGGGCGGCGCCGGUGGCAGCGCGAGCGUGGUGCCCGUGCCGUGGACGCCGCAGAACGACCUCGCAUGA